This 517-nucleotide long non-coding RNA is filed under the name Homo sapiens (human). RNAcentral describes it as "non-protein coding LINC01066:1". Lineage: Eukaryota; Metazoa; Chordata; Mammalia; Primates; Hominidae. The record is from RNAcentral.
CUCCUUUAAACAACCAGCUCCCAUUGGAACUAGCAGAGUGAGAACUCACUCAUUACCAUGGCAACUGCACCAAGCCAUUCAUGAGGGAUCCACCCCCAUGACCCAGACACCUCCCACCAGGCCCAACCACCAACACUGGGGAUCACAUUUCAACAUGAGUUUGGAGGGGACACACAUUCAAAUCACAGCACAUGCUUUUCCACCCAGCAGCCAUUCUGCCCAUCUUUCCCUGGCUGACAGAACUCUGCCUUCGAGUAGGUGUUGGGGGUCAUGCCCUUCAUGAAAGGAGGAGUUUCUCUCUCAUCUCGUCAAAAAACAAAUUAUUCUGCCAAGCAAGGAGCAUGUUUUAGCUUAGUCACCACAGAAGAAACAGAUCACUUUUAAUUAUGACAUUUCAUCAACACUUGGCAAGUAAGAAAGAUGGGUUGAAAGACUGCAUCAGAAAUAUUCUAGAGUUAUUUUCCUGCUAACAUGGAAACAAAAAGAUUCAAUGUGAGAAGAAAAAAUAGAUUCCUAA